GUCACGUUUUGAAGCCUCAAGCCCAAGCCAAUUGCACUGGCAAACUCCACCAUCUCACCGAGUGCAAGGCAGCCGAGUCACUACCCCUCAACCUGGAGAAAACUGUUAAGCACCUCACCAUGGGGCAGGACCGCAACACUCCUCACCACCUCAACUCCCUGCACCCGCAUUUAACA
This is a long non-coding RNA of Alosa sapidissima (American shad), 176 nucleotides long. RefSeq lists it as uncharacterized. NCBI's taxonomy places the organism in Eukaryota, Metazoa, Chordata, Actinopteri, Clupeiformes, Clupeidae. The record is from RefSeq and is a predicted model, not a curated record. The transcript is spliced from 3 exons.